GCCUAUACCAGCUGUCGGCUCAGCUGAUUACCUUUGAUGCGUUCAAGCGCCAAAUGUCAAAAUGGGUGUUCUGUUUAAACUGCUGUAACCUGUGUACUCUUACUGUGUCCUACAAAAACCACUUUGCAACCUGCCUCCAACCCAGCUGCUCCUUUUUAUGCUGAGUCUGACUUUACUCGUGUUAUAAUGAACUGUCAAUAGCAACGUUUACACGGGCAAAAUUUCUUCAUCCGAUUAAAAAUUUGAGGGAUCGGAUAAUCUGAAUCCUCUGUCUAUAUAAGUGCAAUAUCAAAUAAUCUGAUCAUGAUGUGCGCAUACAUGCACCAAGUUUUAUUCAGAUAUGAAGCAUUUGGACAUGUGCAGAGUUGUCUAAUUUCGCUAAAACAACAGCAGAAAAAGAGUUAUAUUGACGCCUGUGCUGUCAACAAACCAAAAAACGCAGUAGUGGCUCACUCCAUCCUAUUCAGGAUGACCCCCCCCCUGUUAAAUGUUGUCACUAGAUGGCGCCCUUGCUUACUUAUUUCACUGUUCUGUCAAAGGUUGCUCUGCGUGUGGAGAUGUGACAUCAUUACGCUGUAUGUACGCCGUAACACGGCGUGACACCUGCAGUCGUGUUAGUGUUAAUAAUGAAACCUCCUGUACUGGUCUCAAUAAAUCAGCCAAAGGCGAAAGAGUGAAGAUCGAGUCAGGUAAGAGAGUCACGAUCUGAAUAACUAUUUACAUGGAUGUGUUUCAAAGUAAUGAUCUGCAUACACCAGCCUGUUCAAUCGGAAUGCAAUUUCUUUCUGAUUGAGCCGAAUUGGAUCAGAAUCUUCCGAUGGACGUGUUUACAUGAUGCAUUUUUAUGCAGCAUUUAUUCCUAUUAUUUGUGACUAUGUCAACAUGGCUGAUCUGCACUCUGGGGGGUCUUUGCUGCUCCUCCUGCCUUGGCUUUUCAUGCAUGCACAUGGAACAGGGGGUAGGCCUUGGCAUUAAAAGUAGUCCUGACUGAAACAUGCUUUUUAUUGAUAUUAAAUUUUGCAAAUGUCAGUUGUUUUUUGUGAAUAAUAUUAGGAAUAUUAGGAUACAUGACCGGAAUUCAUUCACCAGGAUGUGGAAAUGAACAACUCACCACUUUGUUCUCUCUCAUCCUGCCAACUCUGCAACGGUCCUGGUUUUGAAACAUAAAUACCAAAAUAAACAUGGAGUAAAUGGAGAAGAUAAACAGCAGAGAUUAUGAAGACCACACAGACAACAACGAUCAUUUCUGCGCCAUCGUCUGAGGGAUCAAACACUGGCUUCAGUCCUGGCCACAUCGAUCUUUUCCGCCAAACAUCUAGCUAACAUUCAGGCAUCAUGAGCUCCUCUGUUCCCCUCUUCAAAGUGACCUCUGAAACUUCCAAAUUAUUUCCCCAAAGGUUGGCUAGAUUCUGUGAUACCUGACUUCUGUGUGAGCCAUGGGAGCUGUGUUACCAGAGCAUGACUGUGUUUAGAAAUGCAGCAUGGCUGCCUUCACCAGAGUGUCUCUUUUACAACAUGCAUUUGAAAGGGCAGAGGAGGAGGCCUGCACAUGUACUGGAAACAAAACUUUGAGCUUUAAAAGUAGUUGCGCUGAUUUUGUCCUCAAAAAUGUUGAUGCAUCAAUUGGAGAAACUCUAGGUCAUCGAUUUAAGAUUGGAACCACUUACCUCUGCAGCCUAUUCCAGAUGUUAUUAGGUAAUAGCCUGGGUACACUGCUGGUUAGGUUGCAAAUCAAUUGCAGGUCUGGAAAAAACAAAACAAAACAAAAAAAAAAAAAACAGUUAACCUGAAAAGCAUAUCAAGAACACAGCUGAGUUAAAAAAUGUGCGUGGGGUCCCGAUAAAGCCAGGAUAUCAACUAAAUAUACUGUACAGUGCUACCAAACGCAGGAUAGUAAGGGAAAGAUGGUCGCGUCUGUUAAAAUAAUGAAUGUACAGUGUAUGGAGACCCCUGUAGAUUGGAGUUGUAGACCCCGUUCUUUGCAGAGAGCAUGUUUAAAGCUUGCCAAGGUCUUGGACUUGUAAUUUUGAGUCUUAUUUACUGAAUAAAAGAAAAACGUCUAAGGCUGAUUUUCAGUUUUCUGUUUUCCAGUGUACUUCAUGCACCACCAUGCAUAACAGUGACAGGACAUUAACAUUUUAUUUGACUUGUGUCCUGCUUUAUUCCAUUUGACUGGAUCAUUUGUGCAACCCUCCCUUUUCUUUCCAACCCUAUAGAAAGUAAAAGUUGAUGUUGGACAGUCCUGCCUGACCACUGAUGCUAUUUAAUUUUAAAUGUAAAGGUCGGCUUCCUUCAAACGUCUGUGCAGAGGACAAACAGUGAACAGUCAGGAGGCUAAUUGUGGUUAUGGAAAUGAAACUUUGACUCAGCUAAGGUAGAUGUCUAGUAUGGGGAUUGUUUGCUGAGUUUGGGGAAAGAUUUGAACUCUGGUCUUCUGAAAGAUAUCUGAGAUGCGUCGAUGUAGCAUUAUUGAAAAACCGUGUAUGUAUGUGGAUGUGUUUUGUGCGGAUGAGUUUACAUGGUUGUCAGGUGAAGGUUGGGUGUGACUCAUUCAGAGUCUAUGACACAUGUCACAUAGAGGGUGUGUGUCAACACAGAGAUGAGAAGAAGUUGAUGGAUAUGACGAAUAAUCAGUGAACUCCUGAUGAGCUUUUCCAUUUUCUUCUGCUUCUCUCUUCCCCAUCGCAGUUUUUCUGCAUCCUGCACUGACUACCAGCUUAAAAGUCGAGUUUGUGGAAGAGCUGGACAAGACGACCCAGGAGUAAUUUAUGUGAACUGCUUUAUGAGAUUUAAUAAUUCUUUCGAACAAAUGAAAAAGUUGCCAGCUGAAGCUAAAUCACAGUGUUUUUAAUGUUUGAAGCUGCUCCACCAGGUGGGUAACAUUUCACAAGCUCUUUGCAAACAAACAGGACACACUGUGGUCAUCAUGGUGUUUCCUCAGGAGAUAUGACUCAUUAGAUAAACCCAUGAUGCAACGCUCACAUUUAUACGUAUCACAGUCUGUGAAGUGCUUCCCAGAACAUCGUACUCCAGCAGCAUGUGCUGGAUAGACACAGAUAAUGACAGAAGUACUGAAGACUAAUGGACCAAAACUCCUACAAAGUUCUCUUUACACCCCUUUAUUAACUCAGAUCUUCUGGUAGCACAUAUGUUUAACCAUUCCUGAGGUUAAUGUCUGUAAAAGAGGAUUGAUGAAAAUGUUUUUAUUUACAAAUCUCAGUGUGUGUUCUCUUGUUCAGAAAGGCAAUUUAUCAUAUUUGACUGAUUUAGUUCAUCCAGAACCACUAAGAUCAACAACAGGCGAUGUUUAAAUCUCUGCAGAUCUAGCUGACUGACAGUGAGGGAUGAUACAACCUGUUAAAAACAUGUCUAAACUGAUCUGUCUUAAUCUGAAAUUUACAAGUGACUUAAUUUAUGUUGCAAUAUGUUUCUCAAAGUGAUUAAGCUGAUUCUUACAGUAUUAAAAACACACUUUAAACUGUAUUAUCUUAUACAUAGGACGACGCCUGGCUUAAAAAGUCUUUAAUGAGAAGAAAAGGCUGCUUCUUCAUAAAUCUUAGUAAAUAUUUACUCCUUAUAGAUUUGCACAUCAGACUACACUACAUUAGGUGGCAACAUACCCUUUUCAGCUCACUACUAUGAGGUCGUCUUCAAAGGUCCUCUCCUGGUUGCUUAUUACAUAUGAAAAGAGUGGGAAAAAUUAGCAAGAGGCUAACAGGAUGUACAUUGAAGGAGAAAAACACUGUUUGUCCUUUUUUAAUAGUCCUUUCUUAGUCUGUUGAGGUUUCGUUUACUACGCAGCUUCCAAGCAAUGCAUUUGUGCUGUUCAAGUACUGGCUUCAAGCCCAGCGUCCAAACACAGGAGCAUGCACAGAACACUUAGGCCCACUGAGCCUUACACAUGGAAGAGAAAAUCCAUCCCCAGCUGCAUUAUCCAAGUAUGUAAGUCUCUGAGAAGUUCAGUGUAGUGCGAUUUUAGUCAGACUGUGUUUCUGUUUCUGAAGCCUAGUUUCAGUCUGACUUCAGCAAUAAAUGGAAUUUUAAACAGCAUGUGAAUGUACUGAAUGUCUAACUUUAGCCGCAACAACAAGAAAGAAUACUUGAGCUUCUGAAUUUACUACAGCAUGAAAGUUUUUCAAGAUCUAGUUUGUGAACAUCUGCAAAGGUUUAACUGCCUGUCUACAGAGAAACUGUGUAAGAUAUCAUAGCUACAUGUGCAUGUGGUCUUAGUCUUUCUCUGGCAGCAACCAGUGCACAGAACCACUGCUGCCCCCAUAUGAACCAGUUUGUUACACAAUAUUAUCACCUGCUUAUUUUAGCACAAUAUCAAUGUUUCAUCUUUAAAAAUAUAGUUAUUAUUGACACCCAGAUAUUGUGAAAGACUUGUGCCUAGUAGUCAUUAAAGUCCCACUCCGAUCAUUUUUUUUUACUACUUACAGUGUUCUCAGUGGUCUUGAAAUUGUGAUUAUAAAGUUUUUAGCCAAAAUCACGUUCCCUGUGUCAUUUUCAAGGACUUUUCUUCUGCAGAGCUCCAGUAGCUCAUUAGCAAUUCGCCUCUGAGUCGUAGGCGGAGACAGCGCACUCUGCACACUCCUCUUCACGCGAGCUUACUGCCUAACAUUGCUUGUGCAGCAGAAGUGGCAGGUAACAUAGGAGCUAUUCAGCUCUCAGACACUAAAGUCUUCUGGGACAUGAUGAAAACUAAUAUCAUAAUUAGCUUUAUAACGAGCAUUGCAAUCCGCUAACACACAUGCUGGUUCCAUGAUUGUACUCUGUAUUACUCUGAGACUGGCCUGCUGAGUGGGACUCCGGGGUGGAGCUGGGAGUUGCUACGUAGGAAAUCUCACUGAAUCUAAGUCUGCCGUUUGGGUCUGCCAGAGAUUCACAGCGAUUUGAAUGCAGAAAUACUUAGAAAUGCAAUUUUGCACAGAUUUUUCUCAUAAUACGUCUUUUAGCAUCAGAAAAAUGUCAUAUGAACAUGUUGACAACAAGCAAAACUUGAUUUUAGAUGGAGUGGCUCUUUAAGUCUCGAAAUGUGUCAUUCAGGGCCCGGGUCACAAUCAAAUAAAUGGAAUGAAUUUGUGCUGUGUUAUGCUCAAACAGUCAUUGUUUAGCCUAAAACAUCAGCACCCAUAGCUAACAGUUUUAAUAUUUAAUCUGAUUUUAUGGUGAAAGCUGAUGAGCAGAUAACAUUUGAAAGUAAAUCUCUAAUUUAAGCUUCUCUGCAAUGCCACAUUGCAUGUCACACCAGUUAAAAUUGCUUUGAAAAUUGCUUUGAAAGCUGGAGUCACGGUGGUCACGCUCCAAUCCCAACCUCAUGAGCGCCCGCCCUCUUUGGCCUCCUUCCCCGUCGACUCCUCGAGAGCUGGAGGAGAUUUUAAUGAAGCAGAACAAACUGGCAGAGAGAGACAGAAAUGGGAGAAGUGAUUGAUUUCUCCUCACUGCUCUACCUCCUUUGUAAGUCACUGCUAAAUGCCUUAAAUGUAAAACAUAUGUUAAUGUGCAGAGGGGGAGAAGAAGUAUAAAUGAAAGGAGACGCAGAUAAUGGUGACACAUGUUGGGUCCUGAAGAGGUUGCAUAAUGUGCAGAGGCAGUGGCAGAGGGAGUUCAACAUUCAGUGCCAUGUGUUUGUCUGCUCCCUGCCUCAAAGGGAUACUUAUUAUAUUUUUAGUCUGCGCAGGUUGGCAGGUUUGUGUGACACGAGGGUUUAAAUACCUUUUUGUACAGAUUAAAUAUAAAGGAAACAAAAGAAGAAGGAGGGGUGAGAAAGCUUGUCUACAAGGCGAGUUUAAGCGCUCGGCGUGUUGCCUGAGGGAGAUGAAUGUUUAAAGUGACAGCAGGCUGCUUUGCAUACCACACCGCUUUGUUGGUCCUUUGACUUUGAACUACCGGUUUCAUUGAUUUCACUUCCCUCCCAACAGGUGGGUGUCAGUCAUUUCUCACACCAAGCUCGGCUACUUCACAUCAAGUUUUUGUUGGAUCAGUGACUCAAAAACAUGCGUUAACACGUAUUUAUUUUGUUCACUUGUGCCACUGAAUCCUUUAAAGAAUAGAGCCAUGAGAUUAAAAAAGGUUGUAAGAGGAAAGUGAAACAAAAAACUUCAUGAGUCAUUUGGAUGCUGGAUGAACAAGCAAACAAAUACAUGACUGAUCAUGAAGAAAACAAAGCUAAGUGCCUGCAGGUAAAAAAAAGGUUAACACUGUCACACGUAAAACUAAAAGUUGAAGCUAUAAGGAACAAUUUUUGUCGCUGUUAACUAAGUAAUUACCCUUUUACUGUUUCUGAUUUUGUCUCAUUCUUGAAAAAUGUAGUUAAUUGACAAAAAUCAAAUCUUUUACAGUGAAGUUUAUGAAUUGCCAUGAUCACUUUUAGUCUCAAACAAAGCUUUGGUUCCUGAAAAUGACUGAACCAUUUUCCCUCAGGUGGUUAUCCAUCUGUUAAGAGCAACAAGUGUAACGCUGCAUCACAAACACGUACAUUAGAGUGUGUAUAAACAUGGUGUGGGGUUGAGUUGUCACCAGCUUGGUAUAAAACUUCCUGACAUUGGAAGUUUUCCUGAUGUUGCUUUUCUUGAUGCAAACGAUCAACAGAGUGACUUCUUCAAGAGCUGGAAGCAGCUUAUGAACCUUCUCAGUGCUGUGCCAGAAGAGUCCAAACACACUUUGACUUGUAUGAAAGUAAAGCGAAGCUGCAGACUUCACAUCAGACCAGUCAUGAAACCACCACGGCUCGAUUAGUGGCAGCUAUAGUGGUGUCCAACAGUUGUGUAGUGUCCUGUGGGAUUACAUAACACAUGUGGGCUCUGUGAAACACAUGAAUAGAAAAUCUGCCAGCAAGUGGACUGCAUCCACUCCUGCUGCUGUCAUAAGUUUGGCUCUGUAAAGGCUGCUCAGUCUCCAGUUGCAGACCUACAGGAGGAGUCGUAUACAUUAAGUACGUCUCCACUCAUUCUAUCUGCCUGGUAAACUGACCGGGUGGAUUCUGGUUUCUUUUGAGAGCAUCUUUGUAUGUCAGUAUUUGUAAGAGGGUUUCUUUCCAUGCAAACAGACCCUCUGUAUUUACAGUUUCUAACCAAUCCCAUUGUUGCAGUCUAAUAACAUGAGCUACACUGAGUUUUUGUUGGACCCAGGAGACUCAUAGCGGCUCAGUUAUUGGUUUUGUGUGUUUCUCAGCCCAGUUAUGACCAUGAAUAAGCCCUUUAACCAACCAGUUAGGAGGUACGCUCUAUGUAUACCUGAGAUCAGUCCACCUUUUGGAGCUCUUUUUCUCAAAAUGUCUCUGAUAAUCUGAUUUGACCCAGAUGACAUGGUUCUGGUCUAAACAUGACUUCAGAUUGAACUCUCCACAAUGGUUGGACAAAGCAGCAUCUACUGUAGACUUAGGUUUUCCCAGCAGUAGGUCAUUUUUAGAACAGCAAGAAAAGCCAAUUAAAAAUCCCAAGAUGCAUUUUAAGUGCAGGAACUUUACCCUGGGACAAGAGACUUUAGGAUGUACUCAAAACAUUUCUAUUGUUGGGCCAGAGUCUAAAUAAAUGUCAAAAUCUGAGCAGUGAGCGGGGCACAGAGAUGUAAGCAAAGGGGGAGAGAGAUCUCAGAAGACAAGACAUUUCACAUAAACUCAUGUUAUUUGUUAAUUGAUACAGUUUACUGCAGCAAACGUAACUGUCUCCACACACCAAGUGCGAGUAAAAUCAUUUGAGCAGAUGAAUUACAUGUUAAGUCAAUGCAAAGACACGAUUAGAUGCUCGUACUACUCUGGUGGCGUGAAAGACGCGAAUUGGGGGGAAGCUGAAAAAGGUUUCAACUUGAGCGGAUAUCCGAGAUAACUAAUCAGCACUAAGGUUGCCAGGUGACAUAUGAAAACAGACGGUUGUUCACUGGUAUCUAAAAUGGAGGACAAACUGAUCGUGUGGGUCUGUGGGUCCCCCAAAUUAUAUGAUACUUUUUCUUUCAAUUACCAAAACCAGAAUAAAAAGGAACUCGCCUGGAGGCAAGUGAGUGAGGAGGUCAUAUUACCUGGUAAAUUGUGAAAAAAAACUUUGUCUAUCACUUGAUCCCACUGGUUGAAUUGGCAAGAAUUACCGUUAAAAUUACUGUUGAUGCGCGAAUAAAGCGAGUAAAUACUUUUCAUUCACAUGCCUAGAUUCGCGCAAAUUAAGCAAGUAGAUGAUUUUACUCGCGCUUGGUGUGAGUGCCCCAAUUUUUGACUUCAUUGAAAGUUCACUCUAAGUUUGAACAAAGAUCCAUACGAGUUACUUCUUUUACUUAUUGUCUCUGAUGCAAUUUUAGAAUAAAAGCCUUGUGUGAAAACAAAGAUAAAUAAAAACAGAUCAGACUUUUGCUUUGAAAAAGCAUUCAUAAAGUACAGUCCUAGUGUCCCCUCCAGGCUUUUAAUAAUAAAAAUAGCUGAUACAGAGUAAACACAGCCUUUAGUUUACCAUUAUUCUGCAUAUUUUUGGCCGAGAUCCAUGUAACUCUGAAUGGUUUAAACUGUACUUCUAUGCCAAACUUCUAGCUGUCUUGCAGCUGUUGUGUAGCAAACAUGCUUCCUGUGUGAAGAACCAUGGAAGGGUACAGUCUGCUGCAGAAACUCAAGCAAGAGUUUACCGAACAAAAUCAUGCCAUAUUGAGAUCUGCUAUUUCAGAAUGACUUUGAAUUGGCCCCCUUAUAAUAACUGUUACUCAUGAUUAUUUCUGAAUACUUAGUUGACAUCUUUAUUAUGGUAAUGUAGAAAAAAAAAGAAAGGUGCGGGGUCAUUUCAGUCCCUCAGAAGUUACUGAGUGACCACCAGCUGCAUGUACUCUUCACACCGUGUGUCAAUAUGUGUAGAGAGCCAGAGAAACAGAUACUGUACACAAAUCUGAAGGUCAGAGGCAAGUUACCAAGUAGCCAACUACGACGGCUCUUGUGCUGAUUUGACAGCAGGGAUCAGAUGAUGUCUGUUAUGCAACUGUGUACGACUCUGCGCCAACUUCAGUCCCAGUGAGUGUGUAUGUGUGUGUUUCAGAGAGACAGGGUGGUUAAAUGGUAAUGAGAGAACAAAAGCAAACACUAGUAACUAUUUAUAUUGCAACAUCAGUGAAGCUUAGACCUUCAGACACAGAGAGUGUUAAAUUUACAGCCUGUAUGUCCUUCCACACACUGAAACACUUUUUCCUUUAAGGAAAUUUUAACAUCUGUGGUUCUCCAUCGAAAACAAAAACACAGGUUGAGGGUUCCUCUUAGGGCUGCAGGAGCUGAGAAGGUUCCUCUUAAUGACCUAAGUAGAUCAUAACUCCUGCUGUGUGGAAUAAAAAAAAGGGACUCAGUUCCUAGAACUUUACAAAACUUUCUACGAUCUGCAAACACCUUGUGAGACUCAAUUUGUCAAGAUUUUGCCAUUAAAAAUGUCGAUCAGUGCUAAAACUUGCUGACACUACUAAGAAAUCUGUGAUAAAAGCUGCCUCAGUGUUUUCUGUCUAGCCAUCUCUACUUUGCUCAUCUUUCAGAUCACCUUAGGCAGAGAGGUCUCUGGAGUUUUGACCCCCAUUUAAAGUCUUGGACCCACAAACAUCUCUCAAAGGAGGAGCCUCAGUGUUAAACCUGAUCUGAGCAGCCAACAGAGAACAGUUCAGUCCCACAUGUGUUGAAUUAAAUCCUCCUUUUGGCAUCCCAGAAA
This is a non-coding RNA of Xyrichtys novacula (pearly razorfish), 9659 nucleotides long. Lineage: Eukaryota; Metazoa; Chordata; Actinopteri; Labriformes; Labridae. The record is from the annotation of a GenBank genome assembly.